GUCUUUUUGUUUUUUAUAUAAAGUUUAACCUGCCCAUUGAAAAAUUUUAAAAGGCUGCGGUAUUUUGACCGUACAAAGGUAGCAUAGUCAUUAGUUUUUUAAUUGAAAACUUGUAUGAAUGGUUGAAUGAAAAAUUAACUUUUUUUUAAAAAAUAUAGAAUUUUACUUUUUAAUUAAAAGGUUAAAAUUUAUUUAAAAGACGAGAAGACCCUAUAGAGUUUUAUAAUUUAAACUAUAUUUUUAAAAAAGUUUAUUUAAAAUUUUAUAAUUUAAAUUAUUUUGUUGGGGUGAUAGUAAAAUUUAAUUAACUUUUAUUAAUUUUUUAUACAUUAAUAUAUGAAUAAUUGAUCCAAUAUUAUUGAUUAAAAAAUUAAAUUACCUUAGGGAUAACAGCGUAAUUUUUUUUUAAGUUCUUAUUAAUAAAANAUUUUGCGACCUCGAUGUUGGAUUAAGAUUUAAUUUUAGGUGCAGCAGUU
RNAcentral lists this ribosomal RNA (476 nucleotides) under Camptochaeta exquisita. RNAcentral describes it as "partial large subunit ribosomal RNA". Lineage: Eukaryota; Metazoa; Arthropoda; Insecta; Diptera; Sciaridae. The record is from RNAcentral.